Molecule: ribosomal RNA, 497 nt
Filed under: uncultured bacterium
Lineage: Bacteria
Description: partial 16S ribosomal RNA
Rfam family: Bacterial small subunit ribosomal RNA
Source: RNAcentral
GACGAACGCUGGCGGCGUGCCUAAUACAUGCAAGUUGAGCGCUGAAGGUUGGUACUUGUACCAACUGGAUGAGCAGCGAACGGGUGAGUAACGCGUGGGGAAGCUGCCUGUGAGCGGGGGACAACAUUUGGAAACGAAUGCUAAUACCGCAUAAAAACUUUAAACACAAGUUUUAAGUUUGAAGGAUGCAAUUGCAUCACUCAAAGAUGAUCCCGCGUUGUAUUAGCUAGUUGGUGAGGUAAAGGCUCACCAAGGCGAUGAUACAUAGCCGACCUGAGAGGGUGCACGGCCAAAUUGGGACUGAGACACGGCCCAAACUCCUACGGGAGGCAGCAGUAGGGAAUCUUCGGCAAUGGACGAAAGUCUGACCGCGCAACGCCGCGUGAGUGAAGAAGGUUUUCGGAUCGUAAAACUCUGUUGGUAGAGAAGAACGUUGGUGAGAGUGGAAAGCUCAUCAAGUGACGGUAACUACCCAGAAAGGGACGGCUAACUACGUG